RNAcentral lists this ribosomal RNA (253 nucleotides) under uncultured bacterium. RNAcentral describes it as "partial 16S ribosomal RNA". It matches the Rfam family "Bacterial small subunit ribosomal RNA", at positions 524 to 776 of the family's 1533-position model. The record is from RNAcentral.
UACGUAGGGUGCAAGCGUUAUCCGGAAUUAUUGGGUUUAAAGGGUGCGUAGGCGGUCUAUUAAGUCAGUUGUGAAAUACGGCAGCUCAACUGUCGAGGUGCAAUUGAUACUGAUGGACUUGAGUACUGAUGAGGUAAGCGGAAUGGACGGUGUAGCGGUGAAAUGCUUAGAUAUCGUCCAGAACACCGAUAGCGAAGGCAGCUUACUAAGGAGUAACUGACGCUGAGGCACGAAAGUGUGGGGAUCAAACAGG